AUGUCUCAUGAAUUUAAUUUCUCUAAAUUUCAUAGACAACACUGUGAAGAGGAAUUGCCUAGUAAAGAUGAAAUUAUUGGUCUUGCUUGUAUUGCCGUACCUCCUAGUGAUCCUUUAGAACAAUAUUUUCUAGACCAUGAAAAUGAUAUGUUUAUGAAUGAAAGAAGGGAAAUAGAUGAAGUAUUCUUUAAACAGGAACCCAUCUUGAAACACAAUUUGCAUGUUGAAAUCCUAGGGGAUCCUCCUCCACCCAAGGGUGAUCCCAUGCUUGAGCUUAAACUAUUACCUGAUACUCUUAAAUAUGCUUAUCUUGAUGAGAAAAAGGUAUACCCUGUUAUUAUUAGUGCUAACCUUUCAGAGCAUGAAGAAGAGAGAUUAUUGAAAACUCUAAAAAAAGCACUGUGCUGCUAUUGGAUAUACUCUUGA
This 426-nucleotide ribosomal RNA is filed under the name Triticum aestivum (bread wheat). RNAcentral's name for it is "partial small subunit ribosomal RNA". The record is from RNAcentral. Lineage: Eukaryota; Viridiplantae; Streptophyta; Magnoliopsida; Poales; Poaceae.